RNAcentral lists this unclassified non-coding RNA (429 nucleotides) under soil metagenome. Its description in RNAcentral is "partial contains 5.8S ribosomal RNA, internal transcribed spacer 2, and large subunit ribosomal RNA". The stretch from base 1 to 120 matches the Rfam family "5.8S ribosomal RNA", at positions 35 to 154 of the family's 154-position model. The record is from RNAcentral.
GAUGAAGAACGCAGUGAAAUGCGAUACGUAAUGUGAAUUGCAGAAUUCAGUGAAUCAUCGAAUCUUUGAACGCAUAUUGCGCUCUUUGGUAUUCCGAAGAGCAUGCUUGUUUGAGUAUCAGUAAACACCUCAAAGUCUUUUUUUCUUGAAGAAAAAGACCUUGGACUUGAGCAAUCCCAACUCUUCUUUCAGAAGAGGCGGGUUGCUUGAAAUGCAGGUGCAGCUGGACAUUCUCCUGAGCUAAAAGCAUAUUCAUUUAGUCCCGUCAAACGGAUUAUUACUUUUGCUGCAGCUAACAUAAAGGGAGUUUGACCAUUUUGGCUGACUGAUGCAGGAAUUUCACAAGAGUCUUCAAAACGCUCUUGUUAAACUCGAUCUCAAAUCAAGUAAGACUACCCGCUGAACUUAAGCAUAUCAAUAAGCGGAGGA